RNAcentral lists this long non-coding RNA (413 nucleotides) under Mus caroli (Ryukyu mouse). Its description in RNAcentral is "lncRNA (MGP_CAROLIEiJ_G0005608.1)". The record is from RNAcentral. Lineage: Eukaryota; Metazoa; Chordata; Mammalia; Rodentia; Muridae.
GGUACUGGGGGCUGAGACUCUCCUAUGUGGGGGUGGAGGGCAGUAUCUUGACUGAUCCUGAGAUGGGGUCUAGAGCACUGGGAGCUGGGCUUCUCUUAUGCAGGAGUGGAGUAUGGGGUGGUCGACUCCUGUGUACACAGCAUCUGCCAGUAAGAGGGAUGUCAACUCUCUUCUAACCAACCACCAGCUUCUAUACUCGCCUCUUCCACGUCCCAUCACUGACUACAUAGCUUAAUAGCCAAGUAUCUCCUAAGCUGAAAUAAGCCAUUAUUGCUUUCAUCUACUACCAUGACCUCUCAGAAGUCUUCCCCAGCAUCUUAGGCAUCCAGCUCCUUGCUCAAGACUCCAGAAAGACUCUGAAAACAGGUGCCAACGUGCCUUACUCUUCAGCAAUGCAGGUACUCCUCAAAUUC